RNAcentral lists this ribosomal RNA (214 nucleotides) under uncultured Planctomycetota bacterium. RNAcentral's name for it is "uncultured planctomycete partial 16S ribosomal RNA". It matches the Rfam family "Bacterial small subunit ribosomal RNA", at positions 461 to 674 of the family's 1533-position model. Lineage: Bacteria; Pseudomonadati; Planctomycetota. The record is from RNAcentral.
AUCCUUACUUGACUAAGGCUCCGGAGGAAGCCACGGCUAACUCUGUGCCAGCAGCCGCGGUAAUACAGAGGCGGCAAGCGUUGUUCGGAAUUAUUGGGCGUAAAGAGCACGUAGGCGGCCUUGUAAGUCAGUUGUGAAAGCCUUCUGCUUAACGGAAGAACAGCAGCUGAUACUGCAAGGCUAGAGUGCGGAAGGGGAGAGUGGAACUUCUGGU